This 72-nucleotide transfer RNA is filed under the name Strix leptogrammica. RNAcentral's name for it is "tRNA-Val". The record is from RNAcentral. Lineage: Eukaryota; Metazoa; Chordata; Aves; Strigiformes; Strigidae.
CAGGACGUAGCUACGAUACCAAAGCAUUCAGCUUACACCUGAAAGAUAUCUGUACCUAUCAGAUCGCCCUGA